GCAAGCGUUAAUCGGAAUUACUGGGCGUAAAGCGCGCGUAGGCGGUUAAAUAAGUCAGAUGUGAAAUCCCUGGGCUCAACCUAGGAACUGCAUUUGAAACUAUUUGGCUAGAGUAUGGUAGAGGUGAGUGGAAUUUCAGGUGUAGCGGUGAAAUGCGUAGAGAUCUGAAGGAACAUCAGUGGCGAAGGCGACUCACUGGGCCAUUACUGACGCUGAGGUGCGAAAGCGUGGGUAGCAAACAGGAUUAGAUACCCUGGUAGUCCUAGCCGUAAACGGUGCACACUUGCUAUGAGCGGAUUCGACCCCGUUCGUGGCGUAGCUAACGCGUUAAGUGUGCCGCCUGGGGAGUACGGUCGCAAGAUUAAAACUCAAAGAAAUUGACGGGGGCCUGCACAAGCGGUGGAGUAUGUGGCUUAAUUCGAUGCAACGCGAAGAACCUUACCUGGCCUUGACAUGUUUGUGGUAAAACCCUGAAAGGGGAAUGACCUCGCAAGAGGAGCUUACACAGGUGCUGCAUGGCUGUCGUCAGCUCGUGUCGUG
RNAcentral lists this ribosomal RNA (540 nucleotides) under Schmidingerella taraikaensis. RNAcentral describes it as "partial Bacterial small subunit ribosomal RNA". It matches the Rfam family "Bacterial small subunit ribosomal RNA", at positions 534 to 1069 of the family's 1533-position model. Lineage: Eukaryota; Ciliophora; Spirotrichea; Tintinnida; Rhabdonellidae. The record is from RNAcentral.